RNAcentral lists this transfer RNA (84 nucleotides) under Obscuribacter phosphatis (SeqCode). Its description in RNAcentral is "tRNA-Tyr". It matches the Rfam family "tRNA". Rfam says of the family: Transfer RNA (tRNA) molecules are approximately 80 nucleotides in length. Their secondary structure includes four short double-helical elements and three loops (D, anti-codon, and T loops). Further hydrogen bonds mediate the characteristic L-shaped molecular structure. tRNAs have two regions of fundamental functional importance: the anti-codon, which is responsible for specific mRNA codon recognition, and the 3' end, to which the tRNAs corresponding amino acid is attached (by aminoacyl-tRNA synthetases). tRNAs cope with the degeneracy of the genetic code in two manners: having more than one tRNA (with a specific anti-codon) for a particular amino acid; and 'wobble' base-pairing, i.e. permitting non-standard base-pairing at the 3rd anti-codon position. The record is from RNAcentral. RNAcentral also lists the same sequence under 1 other name. Lineage: Bacteria; Bacillati; Candidatus Melainabacteria; Candidatus Obscuribacterales; Obscuribacteraceae (SeqCode).
CGGCGGGUAUGCAAGUGGUCAAAGCGGCGUGGCUGUAAUCCACGCGUCGAAAGGCUUCGCAGGUUCGAAUCCGUGCCCCGUCGA